Molecule: ribosomal RNA, 428 nt
Filed under: uncultured Neisseria sp.
Lineage: Bacteria; Pseudomonadati; Pseudomonadota; Betaproteobacteria; Neisseriales; Neisseriaceae
Description: bacterial SSU rRNA
Rfam family: Bacterial small subunit ribosomal RNA
Source: RNAcentral
GAAGAAUAAGCACCGGCUAACUACGUGCCAGCAGCCGCGGUAAUACGUAGGGUGCGAGCGUUAAUCGGAAUUACUGGGCGUAAAGCGAGCGCAGACGGUUACUUAAGCASGAUGUGAAAUCCCCGGGCUCAACCUGGGAACUGCGUUCUGAACUGGGUGACUAGAGUGUGUCARAGGGAGGUAGAAUUCCACGUGUAGCAGUGAAAUGCGUAGAGAUGUGGAGGAAUACCGAUGGCGAAGGCAGCCUCCUGGGAUAACACUGACGUUCAUGCUCGAAAGCGUGGGKAGCAAACAGGWUUAGAUACCCUGGUAGUCCACGCCCUAAACGAUGUCAAUUAGCUGUUGGGCAACUUGAUUGUUUAGUAGCGUAGCUAACGCGUGAAAUUGACCGCCUGGGGAGUACGGACCCCAAGAUUAAAACUCAAUGA